GUUUAAAUAGUUUAAAAUAAAAAUUUUAAUUUGUGGAAUUAAAGAUGUGACUUAUCAUUUUAAACA
Molecule: transfer RNA, 66 nt
Filed under: Hylurgus micklitzi
Lineage: Eukaryota; Metazoa; Arthropoda; Insecta; Coleoptera; Curculionidae
Description: tRNA-His
Source: RNAcentral